AUGCUGGAUACAUUUUUAUUCCACUGCAUACUCUUCAGUGUCCAGUGGCAAGCAGAGUUGACUCCAGGAAGUCAGGAAGAUCCACAAUGUCAGAGGUCCUGUUGGCAACUCCAAUCCUUGAUGAUUUAUCUUGGUGAGUUCAGGGUUCCAGAGUCUAUCACNAUGCUACAUGAGUGUUGCUACUUUUUGUCUGGGACUUCGUUUCAUUUACAAAGUUACAUUUUUUGUUUCAUAGGUGAGGGGAAUUUAGGAGAUGGAAGUGCUGAAUCUAUGGCUGAAACCAACAGCAGUAUAACCAUUGGUAGGAGAAAGGCUCCAUCAUUGUCUGAUGUCACUGAACUGCCCCAAACUCACUCUAUAAGGACUGAUGCUAANGAGGCUGAAGGAGGUAUGGACAGCAUUAAUUCCACAGAGGUAAAAGAAGAUGAUGCACCACCAUUCCUUGAACCUGAGAAAGAGACAGAACACAGAGAGGAGCCAGAGGAGCACAUAGCAUCUUUCCAAUCAUCACAACCACAACCAAGGCAGAAUGCAGUUGGAGAUCCUGAAGAUGUCAAACAGGAUGAUGCCAAAGAAGGUACAGAUGAAGACUUUCCNAAGGAACAGGAUGCAAAGAAACAGAGAAACAAAUAUUCCGCAGAAAAUGAAUUUUUUGAUGCUUAUGAUUAUGUCUGAAGAGGCGUAUUUCAAACAUCAUGCCAUCUUAUAUGAAGGAUUUUAAUGGUGGAAGUCUUGAAAAUCAUGUUUACUGCUGAUGAUACUUUCUACAUUGUUUAGAAAUAUUUGAAUAAUUUCAUCUUUCCAGGACAAUUAGAGAUGUAAACUUAAUUAUGGGUUACAUGCUCCUUAUUUGUUGGUGAAUUUGUAUUAACCAUUAAGGUUUGGUGAGAAUGAAGAUGUUAAAUUAUUUAGCAAAUCUGCCACAUAUAGUANUUUUUUUUACUACACAAGUUGUUGAUGAUUAAUUCUUCUUGUAAUUUCCUGAUGAAUUAUUUUUCUCUGCCUGCCUAAUCAGCAGGCCUGCUGUGAAAUAUAAUUGCACUUGCAAGAAAAUUACUGUCUCAUGAGAUGAAUAAGUUUGAUGAUUAAAUUUGAGAGAAUGAAGUAAUAACAAAUACCCCAAAAAGAAUGGUAUGCUGGCUCCUUUGCCGCAAUCUGAUGACCUUUCCAAGUAACACAAUCAUGUUUUAGAACCAGUUGAGGCCGAUACAACUCACAACAUAGCAAAGAAAUUUUUAGAUAAAGUAUUUUCUGUUACAGAAUGAUGGAAUUUUGCUUCAGUUAAAUUAAAAAAUACCAGUCAUGAUCUGAGGUCAGUAAAGCAUAAUUCAUCAAGUUUUAAGGCAGCGAAGAAUGGAAAUGCAGAACAGGCUUGAUAAGGAGACUUAGUUCUGCACUGACCUGCGUGUUGGAUCAGCUAGCAUAUUAGGAGCCUCCCUUAUGGUUCCACCCAGGUCUUCCUUAGACUCCAUUGGAGUGCAAAAUGGAGGUUCCUAGUUCACUUGUUGGUCUGGUAUACCAUCCAGUGCAGAAACGCCCAUAGUUGCUGUCAAAUGUAAUUUCUAAACUGCAUCUGAAGUGAGGGAGCAGCCCGGCGUUCAUAUCGGUAGGAGACAGACUUCUGUUCGAAUCGCAUGCAUUAUUUCUUGUUUUCUGCACAGACACCAGAUACUUUCCAAUCCAUGUUUUCUCAACGAUUAGCAUAGCCAUUUUCUUCUUGCCAUCUUCUAGCAGAGUACAUUAUUUUUUAAUCUAUAGCUGUUAUUUUAUAAAAUCCCAAUAUUUGAUGUAGAGCCUGCCAAAUCCUAGAUUGAGAACAGACAGACUUGGGAAGACAGAUGUGCUUUUGAAACUGUUUCACAACUGCUCUGGGAAAAUAGCUCUACAAUGAAUUCAAUGCCCCCCUGCCAUUUUUCUUUUCCCAGUUGGAAAAGACAUGUCUAGAAGAAAGUGCCAGGCUGAGCACUACUUCUUUGCUGAAACGGGAAAAUAUCCAAGAAUGAAUCAACAGAGGAUGGCAAGCUAUGCUUCUAGAAAAGCAGCUCCCUUUCUUGUCUCCUUGCUGUUCGACAUCGGGGCUGCUUGCUUGAAGGAAAGGCCUUUUUCACAUACAAAUACAAUUGAGUCAUAAAAUGGACAUUUAAAUAAGGUUAGUGCAGGCCCAUUAAAAUUAAAAGUCUGACGGCAGAGAAAAUACAUGUGGGAUGGGAGUGUUAUUGUAAAAUAUGUACUCUUUUUCCUCUGACAGAGGCUGAAUCCAGAUGAGAGGGGGAGGGCACUUUAAGGUAUGCAACCCUCCCCCCCAGUCACCUUAAAGGGAACCAAUUUACUUCCCUUUAAGCCGGAUUGCCUCUCUACUCCACCAGAUGGCNCAAGGGCUUUCCUCCCCUCCCCUUGACAGGUGAGGGAAGUUUGCUCCCUCGCUGGAUCAGAUGUCAUUUUAAAACCGAUCCUGAGGAGGGGGUAGACCUCCUCCCCACAUGAUGGACUGUUCAGUGACAUCUGAUCCAGUGGGGGUGGGGAGCAAGCGUCCCUUGUCUGCCAAAUGGUGUCAGGGAAGGUCCUCACACCGUUGGGCAGGCAGGGAGAAGGGCACACCCUGCCCUCUGCGUCGAAGCAGGAGUCCUUGCUUCAAUAUGGAAGGNGGGGGGUUGAAGGCAAGGAAUAGCCCCAUAGGCCGUUUCCUGUCUUUGAAAACAGGCAGUGGUGAGACAAGGAGAGUUGAAGGGCCCUCUCAGCACUUCAGCCUGCUCUGUUGCUACUGUGCCUUAAUGUUUGUAGUGGCAUAAGGGAGGAGUGUGAGGACUGAGUGAGGUGUUUUUCCUCCAUGUGUGAGAGAGCAAUGAAGGUGCAGUGAUAAGCAGGCACUGCGCCCUCAGUGCCCCCUCAAUACAUUGUAAUGGAGUUGUGUGGAUUCAGCCAGGGACUUAGCUGAAUGGACAAAACACCUCCUUUCUCCAAAUUGAGUUAUCCUCCUUAUCAAAUAUCUUAUCAAACUUGUUUUUGCUUUAACCUUCACGCAUCAUAGCUGUACAGUUUACCAUCUUUCCCGUCAUAUGACAUAUCCAAUUCAAAAUCAGACUUUGUUUAUGAGUNAAAUCAUGCAAAUACGAGUACCUAAAUACGGGUUAGUUUUGGGCAUGGUUUCCUGACAUCUCUUGGCCUUUCUCACCUUUUCAAAUUGUAUUUAAAAAUUCAUAUUUCUUUCCCAUUGCAAAACAGAACGAAAUCUCUGAUGUAGUGCAGUGCUUUGUACCUUGUUGCAGUAAUUGCUGGCAGAUCCAGAGAAAUGGGACAGGAAAAUUUCAUUCCUGAGGAGAUAAUUUAUCAAAACAGCUCUCAGUGAUUUCUGAAACAGAUUUUGAAAAUAUAGCUCACUCUGGCAUAUCAGAGUGUUUUGGAGUACUGAUAGNUGUGAAAUGCAAUUGCAGUGACUACUUGAAAUUUCUCCCCCCAGUAAUGCAAUAGUAUAUAUUUGGAUAAGAAAAAGGAACAAAAAAGGCUUUAUAAGUGAGACUUAACACNUAGAUUUUAAUGAACACAUAUAUGCAAACCUUUGUGUUCGCUUUUGUUCAUGAACCCUUUAAGNUAUAACCUUUCUAAAAUAAAAUUGAACUUUUCAUAGUUCA
Long non-coding RNA from Salvator merianae (Argentine black and white tegu), 3629 nucleotides. Lineage: Eukaryota; Metazoa; Chordata; Lepidosauria; Squamata; Teiidae. The record is from Ensembl.